RNAcentral lists this transfer RNA (71 nucleotides) under Loxodonta africana (African savanna elephant). It matches the Rfam family "tRNA". From Rfam's summary of the family: Transfer RNA (tRNA) molecules are approximately 80 nucleotides in length. Their secondary structure includes four short double-helical elements and three loops (D, anti-codon, and T loops). Further hydrogen bonds mediate the characteristic L-shaped molecular structure. tRNAs have two regions of fundamental functional importance: the anti-codon, which is responsible for specific mRNA codon recognition, and the 3' end, to which the tRNAs corresponding amino acid is attached (by aminoacyl-tRNA synthetases). tRNAs cope with the degeneracy of the genetic code in two manners: having more than one tRNA (with a specific anti-codon) for a particular amino acid; and 'wobble' base-pairing, i.e. permitting non-standard base-pairing at the 3rd anti-codon position. The record is from Rfam by way of RNAcentral. Lineage: Eukaryota; Metazoa; Chordata; Mammalia; Proboscidea; Elephantidae.
GCACUGGUGUUUCAGUGGCAGAGUUUUCGUCUUCCAUGUGAGAGACUUGGGUUUGAUUCCCAGCCAAUACA